GAUGAGGGCUUCGAUCUCAUCCUUAAGUUGGAUGCAUUGCUCGGUAUUGUGGCCGUGGCCCCGAUGGAAUCGACAGUACUUCCGUCGGUCGAGGCCUUUUGCCUUCAGAGGCGGAGGCCGUCGCAGGUAUUCUUCCCCCUCGAUCUCCAUCAAAAUCUGCGCACGGGGAGCAGAGAGAGGAGUGUAGGAGUCAUACCUGGGGUGCGCCGGCCUUGGAGUCUGCCGUCGGGGCGACUUCUGGUUUCGUCGCGGGGGUGAGACCC
Molecule: long non-coding RNA, 263 nt
Filed under: Elaeis guineensis (African oil palm)
Lineage: Eukaryota; Viridiplantae; Streptophyta; Magnoliopsida; Arecales; Arecaceae
Description: long non-coding RNA (EGUI_LNC069002)
Source: RNAcentral